AAGGUUGACCUCGGAUCAGGUAGGGAUACCCGCUGAACUUAAGCAUAUCAAUAAGCGGAGGAAAAGAAACCAACAGGGAUUGCCUUAGUAACGGCGAGUGAAGCGGCAACAGCUCAAAUUUGAAAGCUGGCUCCUUCGGAGUCCGCGUUGUAAUUUGUAGAGGAUGAUUCGGCGAGGGCUCCCGCCUAAGUCCCCUGGAACGGGGCGUCAUAGAGGGUGAGAAUCCCGUAUGCGGUGGGUUGCCUUAGCCAUGUGAAUCUCCUUCGACGAGUCGAGUUGUUUGGGAAUGCAGCUCUAAAUGGGAGGUAAAUUUCUUCUAAAGCUAAAUACCGGCCAGAGACCGAUAGCGCACAAGUAGAGUGAUCGAAAGAUGAAAAGCACUUUGGAAAGAGAGUUAAAAAGUACGUGAAAUUGUUGAAAGGGAAGCGCUUGCAGCCAGACUUGUCCGCAGUUGCUCAACCGGUCUCCUGACCGGUGUACUCAUCUGCGGCCAGGCCAGCAUCAGUUCGGGCGGUCGGAUAAAGGCCCUGGGAAUGUAGCUCCUCUCGGGGAGUGUUAUAGCCCAGGGUGGAAUGCGGCCAGCCUGGACUGAGGAUCUCGCUUCGGCUAGGAUGCUGGCGUAAUGGCUGUAAGCGGCCCGUCUUGAAACACGGACCAAGGAGUCUAACAUCUAUGCGAGUGUUUGGGUGUCAAACCCAUGCGCGUAAUGAAAGUGAACGGAGGUGGGAACCCUCACGGGUGCACCAUCGACCGAUCCUGAUGUCUUCGGAUGGAUUUGAGUAAGAGCAUAGCUGUUGGGACCCGAAAGAUGGUGAACUAUGCCUGAAUAGGGUGAAGCCAGAGGAAACUCUGGUGGAGGCUCGCAGCGGUUCUGACGUGCAAAUCGAUCGUCAAAUUUGGGUAUAGGGGCGAAAGACAAUCGAACC
RNAcentral lists this ribosomal RNA (926 nucleotides) under Macrophomina phaseolina. RNAcentral describes it as "eukaryotic LSU rRNA". It matches the Rfam family "Eukaryotic large subunit ribosomal RNA", at positions 1 to 941 of the family's 3401-position model. Lineage: Eukaryota; Fungi; Ascomycota; Dothideomycetes; Botryosphaeriales; Botryosphaeriaceae. The record is from RNAcentral.